Molecule: transfer RNA, 85 nt
Filed under: Candidatus Microgenomates bacterium
Lineage: Bacteria; Candidatus Microgenomatota
Description: tRNA-Tyr
Rfam family: tRNA
About the family: Transfer RNA (tRNA) molecules are approximately 80 nucleotides in length.
Source: RNAcentral
GCUAAGAUGGUAGAGUGGUCAAAUACACGAGACUGUAAAUCUCGCGGCCGUACGGCCUUCGGGGGUUCGAAUCCCUCUCUUAGCA